UAAUUUUCGGGUCCGAGUCAUAAACCCUCCUCCCUCCCCACCUCCCCUUCCCUCCCCUCCCCUCGACUGCGCGGCCGCGAAGCCGAACCCUAGCCCGAGACACCCCCUCCCCCUCCAGUCCACAGCGUUUCCAGCAGAGGAGAAUGAGCAGGCGCUGGAGCAGGACGAUCUAUGUUGGCAACCUCCCCGGCGACAUCCGGGAGAGGGAGGUUGAGGACCUCUUCUACAAGUAUGGACGUAUCGUUGAUAUCGACUUGAAGGUUCCUCCAAGGCCUCCUGGCUAUGCUUUUGUCGAGUUUGAAGAUCCUCGUGAUGCUGAAGAUGCUUGUGCUGGACGGGAUGGCUACAACUUUGAUGGAAACCGUCUAAGAGUGGAACCUGCUCAUGGUGGGAGAGGUAGUGGUGGCCCCUCUCAUGACCGUUCAAGCAGCUUUGGUGGUGGUGGUGGCGGCGGCGGCGGCGGACGCCGUGGUGUGUCCAGGCACACGGAUUACCGUGUUCUGGUUACCGGCCUGCCUUCUUCUGCAUCCUGGCAAGAUUUAAAGGACCAUAUGCGAAGGGCUGGUGAUGUUUGUUUCUCAGAAGUGUAUCGUGAAGGCUCUGGCACCACCGGGAUUGUUGAUUACACAAACUAUGAUGAUAUGAAAUAUGCUAUAAAGAAAUUGGAUGACACUGAAUUUAAGAAUGCCUUUUCUAAAGGUUAUAUAAGGGUGAAGGAAUAUGAUGCUAAACGUGGGCGCUCCUACUCACGUAGCCGAAGCCCAAGUCGUAGCCACAGCAAAAGCAGGAGCCCAAGCAAAUCUCCCAGGGGCCGCUCAGCAUCUAGGUCCAGAUCAAGGUCUCUUUCUUCCCGUUCUCGGUCUGCAUCAAAAGGGCGUUCUCCGUCAAGACUCGAUUGUCUCUUCGUUUUAUCUGGGAUUGUGCGGCGAUCUUGGGGAUUGUGCAUUAGGAUAUUGAGGAUGGAAUUUGCUCAAUUUGGUACAAUUCUGUUGGUUGUAUGAGAGCUUGGGCAUAGCGCAUUGUUUGGAAUUCUGGACAAUAAAGAGCAUUAAGGAUUAUGAUGGUACAGUGGCUAGGAAUGUGCUUGGAGUUCAAUGCUUGAGGAAUGGUUGUUUUCCUACCUUGGGCACUCUUAACAUGGCCUUUGUAGCUUGCAUGCACUGACUGCAUUCAACACCGAUUUUUUGCAUUUCUGCAUGAUUUGAACUCAUGUAACUGAGUGCUUCUGUUUUCCUUGAGCUCUUUUUGCUUUGAUUCGGUUAGUCCAAUGCUGGGCGAAGCAUGAAGGCUUUUGGACUCAAGCUGUUAAUGGUGCAUUUUGGAUAUUGAAUUCGGUUGUUUGUGGAACUUUUGCAGAUCACCAGCAAGAUCCAAAUCCCCGAUUGCUUCUCCGGCAAAUGGUGCAGUAGCAAGUCCCAAGAAGCGCAGCCCAAGCAGGAGCCCAUCUCGUUCACGGUCUCCUGAUGCAAAAUCUGAAUAGAUGCAUUGCACCGGUGCAGGUUCUGGCGUGAGCUUGUGUCUGCGUAUUUGUUAAGCUCAAUGCAUCUCAAGUUCUAUUGGAACGUUAGGAACUGUGCAAUGAGUAUACUCCAGUAUUAAGAGUAUGUACUUGUAUCGCCUAAGACAUUGAGCUUGAGUACUAUCAUGUCCUGCAGCCGGUCUUGUUUUCUCCAAUUAUUAUUUAAAUUUUACCUUCUGGAUCCGUUGGUUAAAAUUCAUGUACUGUGAUUGUGGAUUUUCACUUCAAUUAUUUUCCUCAGAAGACA
Brachypodium distachyon (stiff brome) is the source of this 1766-nucleotide RNA transcript. It is a transcript of the gene named serine/arginine-rich-splicing factor SR34, with no coding region annotated. The transcript is spliced from 15 exons. Lineage: Eukaryota; Viridiplantae; Streptophyta; Magnoliopsida; Poales; Poaceae. The record is from RefSeq and is a predicted model, not a curated record.